AGUUUUAAAAGACUGGACUUUUUAUUUUUUUUAGAUAGUGGGUGUAGUGAGUUUAUGUCUAGUUUAGCUUAGGUUUAUGGAACUUUGGGUGGAGGAGUUGAUUAUUUGGUUGAGUGUAACACAUUUUUUUCUUAUAUUGUUGAUAAUUUUAAGACAUGAAAUAAUAGAUUGGUGUACACAGAUAUUGUGCCCUUUAAGUGCGGAAGAAGAUAAAGAAAUGGAUGUAAGUCCCCAACAACCGGUUGUAAGUUUUGAAGUGUAAAACUACAUACGUUAAGGUGGGUGGGGGCCUAGUCCAUAAUCAGUUUUGGAAUUUCUGAAAUC
Molecule: non-coding RNA, 324 nt
Organism: Pseudonaja textilis
Lineage: Eukaryota; Metazoa; Chordata; Lepidosauria; Squamata; Elapidae
Source: RefSeq, a predicted model, not a curated record